RNAcentral lists this transfer RNA (85 nucleotides) under Thermoplasmata archaeon. Its description in RNAcentral is "tRNA-Leu". It matches the Rfam family "tRNA". From Rfam's summary of the family: Transfer RNA (tRNA) molecules are approximately 80 nucleotides in length. Their secondary structure includes four short double-helical elements and three loops (D, anti-codon, and T loops). The record is from RNAcentral. Lineage: Archaea; Methanobacteriati; Thermoplasmatota; Thermoplasmata.
GCAGGGGUAGCCAAGCCAGGCCAACGGCGCAGGACUUAAGAUCCUGUGGUGGAGACCUUCGUGGGUUCGAAUCCCACCCCCUGCA